CUGAAACGCAGUUGGAAGUGCAUGGAC
Molecule: non-coding RNA, 27 nt
Filed under: Homo sapiens (human)
Lineage: Eukaryota; Metazoa; Chordata; Mammalia; Primates; Hominidae
Source: RNAcentral